RNAcentral lists this ribosomal RNA (253 nucleotides) under uncultured bacterium. RNAcentral describes it as "partial 16S ribosomal RNA". It matches the Rfam family "Bacterial small subunit ribosomal RNA", at positions 524 to 776 of the family's 1533-position model. The record is from RNAcentral.
CACGGGGGGAGCAAGCGUUGUUCGGAAUCACUGGGCGUAAAGGGCGUGUAGGCGGUUCGGUAAGUGAGAUGUGAAAUCCUCCGGCUCACCCGGAGACCUGCAUCUCAAACUGCCGGACUAGAGUAUGGGAGAGGACAAGGGAAUUCCUGGUGUAGCGGUGAAAUGCGUAGAUAUCAGGAGGAACACCGGUGGCGAAGGUGGGUCUCUGGGCCGAUACUGACGCUGAGGAGCGAAAGCGUGGGGAGCGAACAGG